GCCAAGAUUUAGUGUUCAAGGUGAUACCUGCUCAGUGAUCAAUAAUUGAAUUAGGUUAAUUCCUAGUAAUUUGAUUAAACAGCUGCCUUAAUCCUAGAGGGUACUAAGUAAGCAUAAUCUGAUGCCGUUUAAUUGGCGGAGAGUUGAAUGGACGAACGAGCGCAUAACUGUCUUGUUAGGAAUUAAAUUGAACUAGACAUUCAAGUGAAGAGGCUUGAUUUAAUAGUUGGACGAGAAGACCCCGUGAAGCUUUACUAUAAGUUAAUUAAAUAUGUGUUUUAUAGUUUAUAACUAAUAAAUUUAAAAGUUUUUACAGGUUUUACUAGUUAACUAGGUAGUUUAGGUGGGGCGCCUGUACUUUAAUAAAAACAAGGAAUUAGCAAUAGUGAAAAAAAAAAUUAAACUGUGUAACUUAUUUGUUUAUACAGAGUUAUUUACGGUUAAUCGACCCUUAUUAUUACAAAAUAAGUUAAAGGAUAAUAGCUACUCCGGGGAUAACAGGGUAAUUAAGUAUUAUAGCUGUUAUGUAAUAUUUUGUUUGCCACCUCGAUGUUGAAUUGGCUUAUCCUAGCGGAGUAGAAGCUGCUAAGGGUAGGACUGUUCGUCCUGUAAUAAGCU
This 618-nucleotide ribosomal RNA is filed under the name Diphyes dispar. Its description in RNAcentral is "partial 16S ribosomal RNA". It matches the Rfam family "Bacterial large subunit ribosomal RNA", at positions 1833 to 2597 of the family's 2925-position model. Lineage: Eukaryota; Metazoa; Cnidaria; Hydrozoa; Siphonophorae; Diphyidae. The record is from RNAcentral.